GAGGAAUAUUGGACAAUGGAUGGAAAUCUGAUCCAGCCAUGCCGCGUGCAGGAAGACGGCCCUAUGGGUUGUAAACUGCUUUUGUAUGGGAGCAAUAAGGACUACGUGUAGUUUGAUGAGAGUACCAUACGAAUAAGCAUCGGCUAACUCCGUGCCAGCAGCCGCGGUAAUACGGAGGAUGCGAGCGUUAUCCGGAUUUAUUGGGUUUAAAGGGUGCGUAGGCGGCGAUAUAAGUCCGUGGUGAAAUAUUUCGGCUUAACCGAGAGACUGCCAUUGAUACUGUGUUGCUAGAAUAUAGUUGCUGUGAGUGGAAUGUGUGGUGUAGCGGUGAAAUGCUUAGAUAUCACACAGAAUAUCGAUUGCGAAGGCAGCUCACAAAGCCAUUAUUGACGCUGAGGCACGAAAGUGUGGGGAUCAAACA
RNAcentral lists this ribosomal RNA (421 nucleotides) under uncultured bacterium. RNAcentral describes it as "bacterial SSU rRNA". It matches the Rfam family "Bacterial small subunit ribosomal RNA", at positions 356 to 774 of the family's 1533-position model. The record is from RNAcentral.